UUCAGCAAGAGACUCCACUCCAGACUGCUGCAACUCAGAACCUCUCUCUUCCCACAGCUCCCAGUCAGAGACCAGCAUAUCAGCAUUUCUCAUCUUGCCCCUAGCUACCUGAUGCUGAAGGUUAAAGAUGAGAACAAAAGGAAGAUUUCAAGCUGGAAUUGCAGAAGGAGGAUUUGAGAUUAAUGCUGGGUCUGAAAAUUGAGCAAAGGUGUAAUGGUAAGAUUGAGUGAGAGGAGAUGGUGGUCUAAAUGAAGGAAUUAUUGUUGAAAAUGUUAAAAAUGCAGCAGAAUAGCCUGGGCAAAAUGGUGAGACUUUGUCUCUACAAA
Molecule: long non-coding RNA, 326 nt
Filed under: Homo sapiens (human)
Lineage: Eukaryota; Metazoa; Chordata; Mammalia; Primates; Hominidae
Description: HSALNT0045809
Source: RNAcentral